UUGCACUAGAAAAACUUAGCGGCGAACGGGUGAGUAACACGUAAAGAACCUGCCUCAUAGACGGGGACAACUAUUGGAAACGAUAGCUAAUACCGGAUAACAGCAUAAAUCGCAUGAUAUAUGUUUAAAAGUUGGUUUCGGCUAACACUAUGAGAUGGCUUUGCGGUGCAUUAGCUAGUUGGUGGGGUAAAGGCCUACCAAGGCGACGAUGCAUAGCCGACCUGAGAGGGUGAUCGGCCACACUGGGACUGAGACACGGCCCAGACUCCUACGGGAGGCAGCAGUAGGGAAUCUUCCGCAAUGGGCGAAAGCCUGACGGAGCAACGCCGCGUGAGUGAAGAAGGAUUUCGGUUCGUAAAGCUCUGUUGUUAGGGAAGAAUGAUUGUAUAGUAACUAUAUACAGUAGAGACGGUACCUAACCAGAAAGCCACGGCUAACUACGUGCCAGCAGCCGCGGUAAUACGUAGGUGGCAAGCGUUGUCCGGAAUUAUUGGGCGUAAAGCGCGCGCAGGUGGUUUAAUAAGUCUGAUGUGAAAGCCCACGGCUCAACCGUGGAGGGUCAUUGGAAACUGUUAAACUUGAGUGCAGGAGAGAAAAGUGGAAUUCCUAGUGUAGCGGUGAAAUGCGUAGAGAUUAGGAGGAACACCAGUGGC
RNAcentral lists this ribosomal RNA (653 nucleotides) under uncultured Bacilli bacterium. Its description in RNAcentral is "bacterial SSU rRNA". It matches the Rfam family "Bacterial small subunit ribosomal RNA", at positions 75 to 716 of the family's 1533-position model. The record is from RNAcentral. Lineage: Bacteria; Bacillati; Bacillota; Bacilli.